Molecule: ribosomal RNA, 253 nt
Filed under: uncultured bacterium
Lineage: Bacteria
Description: partial 16S ribosomal RNA
Rfam family: Bacterial small subunit ribosomal RNA
Source: RNAcentral
UACGGGGGGGGCAAGCGUUGUUCGGAAUUACUGGGCGUAAAGGGUUUGUAGGUGGUCUGUUAAGUCAGACGUGAAAUCCCUCAGCUUAACUGGGGAACUGCGUCUGAGACUGAUGGACUUGAGGGCAGGAGAGGAACGCGGAAUUCCAGGUGUAGCGGUGAAAUGCGUAGAUAUCUGGAGGAACACCGGUGGCGAAGGCGGCGUUCUGGACUGUUUCUGACGCUGUAAAACGAAAGCCAGGGGAGCAAACGGG